RNAcentral lists this ribosomal RNA (395 nucleotides) under uncultured Clostridium sp. Its description in RNAcentral is "bacterial SSU rRNA". It matches the Rfam family "Bacterial small subunit ribosomal RNA", at positions 355 to 767 of the family's 1533-position model. The record is from RNAcentral. Lineage: Bacteria; Bacillati; Bacillota; Clostridia; Eubacteriales; Clostridiaceae.
UGGGGGAUAUUGCACAAUGGGGGAAACCCUGAUGCAGCAAUGCCGCGUGAGGGAAGAAGGUCUUCGGAUUGUAAACCUAAGUAGCCAGGGACGAUAAUGACGGUACCUGGAGAGUAAGCUCCGGCUAACUACGCGCCAGCAGCCGCGGUAAUACGUAGGGAGCGAGCGUUGUCCGGAUUUACUGGGUGUAAAGGGUGCGUAGGCGGGAUGGCAAGUCAGAUGUGGAAUACCGGGGCUUAACCCCGGGGCUGCAUUUGAAACUGUCGUUCUUGAGUGAAGUAGAGGCAGGCGGAAUUCCUAGUGUAGCGGUGAAAUGCGUAGAUAUUAGGAGGAACACCAGUGGCGAAGGCGGCCUGCUGGGCUUUAACUGACGCUGAGGCACGAAAGCAUGGGGA